This 1101-nucleotide long non-coding RNA is filed under the name Brassica rapa (field mustard). Its description in RNAcentral is "long non-coding RNA (BRAP_LNC005810)". The record is from RNAcentral. Lineage: Eukaryota; Viridiplantae; Streptophyta; Magnoliopsida; Brassicales; Brassicaceae.
CAAAGUUGUGAUUGACACAAACCAACUGAAACCAAUGGAUACAAAACCCUUCCGUGGUUAGCUAAACCGGCAGAACAUAGAGAUAUCUUCGGGGACUAGAGCUCACAACGGGGCAACAUACAAGAUUAAGAAAUAUUACAACCUUAACACAAGUGAUUAAGCUUCCAAACUUCUAGCAUAAGUCUAAACAUAACAGGGAAACUGUCCGAAAGGAUCUCUAUGACACGUAUUUAGUGAGAAUGCCCUCGGCCAGACCACCGCUAAACCACCUCCUCCUAGAACUCUGAGGAAACACCUCAAGGACCCAGUAACAGAACCUUCAUAAUCCGGCAAGUAAAGAAUCUUCCUAACACUUCCGGAAACGGCUUGAUCUACGACGACCAUAGAACGCCUAGGUAUGAAGCGACCAACACAACAGACUCCGCUCGAUCUGAACAAACAACUAGGAGCGAGGCCCACCAAAUCCGGAAAACACGAACAGGCCGCAAACAGCAUAAGCCGUGAACAGCAAAAUAGAGGACAAGAUGGAAGCUACAGCAGACUCAAAGAGGACAAACAUCACCUGCAGAAAAAGACCAAGCCAGAAGCAAAGGAGACCCGCAAAACAAAUGGACAAACAGAUCCAGACAAGGGCUUCGAGAAAAGGCUAUUGUAGCAAAACUACACCGUCAAUCCACAGAUCCGGAACUUUUGAAACAAAACACCAACCUGAAUCUGAAAGCCUUUUCCUUUCUUUGGCAAGGGCGAAUCUCCUCCCAAAACGAAAGUAAAUCACACAGAUGAACAAAUACACAAACUUUGAACACGGUCAGAGAGUUCGAAACACAACGACACCCGUAGCUGCUCCUCUCUACUGCGUCGAGCCUCCAGAACAGACUGACUCACCGUGGAGCCACACACCCUCACGAGCAGGUGACUAUACCAACAGAAACCCUCUGACCAGAGACACAGACAAGGCGGUAACAGGGCAAAGACGGAUGUCGAGCAAAAGAGAGGCGAUACUAGAGGAGGAGGAAGCCUCCGGCGCUGGCACGCGCGCUCACGCGCCGUCCGGACGCCGGAGCGUUAUCAGAUCUGCUUUUUGGUUCGAGAGAGAAAGCG